RNAcentral lists this small RNA (27 nucleotides) under Bombyx mori (domestic silkworm). RNAcentral's name for it is "ovarian small RNA-11535". Lineage: Eukaryota; Metazoa; Arthropoda; Insecta; Lepidoptera; Bombycidae. The record is from RNAcentral.
ACGCUCAGCUAUAUGGUUGUACAGCGC